This is a long non-coding RNA of Rhincodon typus (whale shark), 3056 nucleotides long. RefSeq lists it as uncharacterized. The transcript is spliced from 3 exons. The record is from RefSeq and is a predicted model, not a curated record. Lineage: Eukaryota; Metazoa; Chordata; Chondrichthyes; Orectolobiformes; Rhincodontidae.
UUGCACCAUGGGAACAGCAGAUCUACUGUAUAUUAUCCUUGAGGUCAUACUGUACCGGAUUAAUCAUUAUUAUUUCCCUCUGAAUUUCUUGGAUAUGACCAUUGUCUGCAAAGUUUACUAUGUGCCACGCUGUGCUGCCACCGAUUGUUCUGUCUGGUUCACCAUCACUUUUACCUUUGAUUGAUUUGAUGCCAUUUGUUGCCUGAAGUUGAAAACGAAAUAUUGCACCAAGAAAAUUGCAACAGCAAUUCUCACAACAACAGGCAUUCUGCUCUAUUUUAAAAACAUUCCCACUUACUUCCGAUAUGAAACUUUGAGAAUCAUUAACAAUGUCGAGUGGUUCUGCGCUAACAGUGAAGCAUAAUGUGAAGAUCCCAUAUGGAUAGGAUUCAAGAGGUUUGAAAAGGUCGUAACUCCAAUGCUCCCAUUUGCUUUAAUUCUUUUGAUCAACACUCUGACAGUCAGGCACAUUUUAGUGGCCAGUCGGGCCCAUAAGAGACUGAGAGCUCAAACCAAGGGGCAGAACUCUUGUGACCCAAGAUGGAGAGCAGAAGAAAGUCUAUCAUUUUACUCUUCACAAUGUCCAGUGGUUUCAUCCUUCUAUGGUUGUGUUACCUUUUGAAAUAUCUUAGUACUUUCGAUAUAUUGUUCGAUAAAAGUUCUGAAUUUAUAUUCCAACAUGUCGCAAAUAUGCCUGGGGUAUAAACUGUUGCACAAACACUUUUAUUUAUGUAACAACACUCUCCAAGUUCAGAGAAAUAUUCACAAACACAUUGAUGUUUCCUUUUCAGCAAACUAUUCAUUACAUCAAGAAAACAAAUGUUAAUGCCACAUCACGUGAAGGGUAAUGGACAAUAGUGAUUGCUGGAUGAAUGAAGGAAAAGGAAGGUUCUGUAGCCGCAAAUCUGUCUAAUAUUAGCAUUGACGAAAAUGGUACUCAGAGCAUUAAUAUAAGAAUGUCAUUAAACAGCACAUUUAAGACACACCAGACUCUACUGUAUCAAGAACAAUGGAUGGGCAUAAAUAACUAGGGAAAGACCAGUGUCCUCUGGAGCAAAAAAUGAGUCAGAAUUCUGACCCCUGUCUGUCUGGAACUGGACAUGGGCCCCAUGCCCCGGACCCUGUCCUGUGACACGGUGUUUCACAAUCUGAGCCGUCUGAGGGAAAUCCUUUCGAACAGUAUAGAGGCAUUAUCUGUACGUGCUGCUGAUGCUGCACAUUCUCCACUGCUGCACCUUCGCCCGCUGCCUGGACAUGACUUGGUGCGACGUUUUGCUCUCCGUGGGCAGAGAACCCAAUCAGAGGGUCAUCUAUAAAGGGGUCCUCGCCUCUUACAUCGGGGACCUGUUGCGGAGCGUGCUGCAUGCAGCUGUCCCGCAGGUUAUGUCUGCACUGGAGUGUUCCUGGAGAGGCAGUGCGUAGUCAUCACUAUCAUGGUCAAGGCCUUUCAAGACUGGUGGGCACUGCGGAAGCUGGAGUACAUCGUCAGCCUGGAAAAUGCCGCUUGUGAUGCCAGAAGCUUGGCUCUGACUGCACACCUCCGAGGAACUAACACUCACAUCAGCUUCCAAAGUGGAAUUCAGGUUAGUGAUUGGGACCCCAGGAGAAUUUUCCUGCACUACCUCCCUGUUCUUUCUGGACUGUAUGAAGGUCACCCAUUCCCGUCUUUCCUCUAAUCCCUUGAGCUGCGGUAUGACUUCCUCUCCAAACAUGCUAUCCACAUAACUCUCAGUCUUGCGGAUGUGCCACACUGUGUCCAACCGCUGCUCAAGCUCCGUGAUGCAGAGCUCCAGCUUCUGCAGCUUGGAGCUCUUCCUGCACUUGUGGUCAUCUCGGACACUGAAAGCAUCCAGGACUCCCCACAUGUGACAAGCUACACAUUCCACUCAGCUGGCCUCUCCUAACGUGUCUUAGAUAUUUACAAAUUAACACCUUUCUGCCCUGCCUCUCCGUGAACUAAGUUCAAGGGUUUGAAGUUUACAAACUCUUGGCUCGCUAGGUAUACUUAGCUUGAUAAAGUGGAUUAAUUCUUACCAGACAGCAGAUCUUCUAUUCCUCUAUUAAUAUUGUUGUUAAAUUAUUAGGGUGGAAAUCUUCAUGUGCCAGUCACUAAGUAGGAUUAUCAUGACAUGUUUUCCUCUUAUUGUUGCAAAUUACAAACAUUGGAGAACAUGUAGGAGUGACUGCCCUUGACAUCAAGGACACAGUUGGCUAGUAAUAGCAUAAACAGCCAUCACACAACUGGAGGCAAUGAGAAUGGGGGCAAUCUCUCCUCUGUUUGGAGCCUUAUGGACGACAAUGAAAGAAAGUUGUUUUUGUUUAAGGGGGUACGUAACCCAGCUCUGGGACAUCUCUGCAGGAUUUGCUCAGUGUAAUGUCCCAGGCCCAACCACAAUGUCAAAGGGAAGGAUUUCCGUGAAUCAUUGCAUAAUGUUCAGCAAAAUAGAUUAAGAACGCUUAAGAUUAAGAAAGAAUCCAACUGAGGGUGGCAAAGAGACAUCACUGAGGAGCACUCUGAGAGAAGUCAGCUCAGUCACCACGAUGAAACAGCAGAUCACAGAAGAACCCCCACAGUAAGAAACAGGAGGAAGAGUAUCCAAGAGAGGGCAGCAGGGAGAUGUCACUGAGGAGCAUUCUAGAAUGUACCUCAAGGAAAAGGAAAGGAGAAUCAAAACAUCGGGGAGAAGGAGAGGAGUUCAUCUCAAUCCAAUAAUGCUUGAUGCGGCCCGUCAGGAACCAAGAGACUUCCUCUGCACCACAGUUCUGGGCAACCGGGAGAAGAGACACUCUGAAUAAGGAGCAGAACAUGACAGACACUCAGGCUGACACAGAACCGGAAAUCCCUGGAGUUAUCUUCGCCUCAAUGAUUCUGGACUGGGGAACAGUCCCAGGGAGGUGCAGGACAGUUACCUCUGAGGGUCUAACAAUUCGUCCACACCACAGGGAUGCAGGGAGACCCCAGUGAUGUGUCCUUGGGUAAACAGACACCAGGUUUCUGUCAAUUCUAUUCAUCUAAAAUGGGUUGAACCCUGGAUAAGCGCAGGAAGAACGAACCA